UGGAGUAGAACAGAAAUUUAGAUGAUCUUAAGUUAGAAUGCAGAAUUCAGGAAAAUUUUGAAACCUUGCAAUCAACGGCAGCUUGAGUCUACAUAAUGAAAGGGCACACCAUAUGCCAUAGCAAACUGACAGAGUGGUCAAUAUGAAGACAAAGUGUAUUAGUCCAUUCUCACACUGCUACAAAAAACUACCUGAGACUGGUAGUUUUUGAAGAAAAGAGGUUUAAUUGACUCACAGUUCUGUAGACUUAAUAGGAAGCAUAACUGGGAGACAUCAGGAAACUUACAAUCAUGGAGUAAAGCAAAGGGGAAACAAGGACCUUCUUCACAUGGUGGCAGGAGAGAGAGAACUGGGGUGAAGGAGGAAGUGCCACACAUUUUAAACCAUCAGAUAUCAUGAGAAUUCAUUCACUAUCCCAAGAACAGCAAGGGGGACAUCCACCCCCAUGAUCCAAUUGCCUCCCACCAGGUCCUUCCCCUGACAUGUGGGGAUUAUAAUGUGACAGGACAUUUAGGUGGGGACACAGAGCCAAACCAUAUCACAUAAACCUCAAGAGAACCAAGAGAAAGAAGAUCUUUCUGGCCAGCCAUGAAAAAAGACUCAAUCACUUAUAAGGGAGAAAAAACCUAAGUAGGCUCAGAUUUCUC
This 647-nucleotide long non-coding RNA is filed under the name Homo sapiens (human). RNAcentral's name for it is "HSALNT0031121". The record is from RNAcentral. Lineage: Eukaryota; Metazoa; Chordata; Mammalia; Primates; Hominidae.